CCAUUGUAGGUAUUUUGGUCGCCCAUUUCUCCUGAGAUGAAAGGUUGGCGAAGGACCUACCUGCUCAGCCAAUCACUGGUCAAGAUGAGACACUGCUGCGGACAUGAAUAGGCUGCGUAGGUCUUUUGCCUAGGAAGCCGGAAGAAGAGAAGAGUGGUAAGGGACCAGAAGGAACUACAGUGGGGGCAACAGCAGGAACAGCAGAGAAUCAGAGGUGGAGAAGACAGAUAAUUAUGUAAGAGGACGAUCCGGGACCCGCAGAGGAAUUAUCACCUUCCCUGUGAGAUGGACACGUUGAACUGGAUGUGGACAUUUAUUUCGGAGGUGCGAGGAGAGAGGUUGCAGUAAAUGAUUGUAAUGAGCCAUCCUGACAGCUCCUGUCCUCGCCUUCAUCAGGUUCAGCUCACAUAUUGACCCGCUCUGCUUUUCAACAUUUCAUUAAUGAUUUAUGAAGAAUUCCUAUUAGGUGUAUUGGACUCCUUAGGUCCCCGGGAUCCUCAUUCUACAUUUCAUCUUUUUCCCGAUACUUGAAGGCUUUUUCCCAGAGGCCGGACAGUGGAUUCAGCACAUUGAUAGCUGCCCAUGAAAGCUGAUAUUGAUCGAGACUUUCCUUAGAUGUAACAAUGUUUGUUACCUUUGAUACGGUCCGCCAGUCGCAUCGGGCGCAGGGAAAAUACACAAAAGCCUUUUACACCGUCCAACAGCAGGAGCCAUGUAGACUCUAUCCCCCUAACAGGAUAACAGCGGCAAAUGUCACUGGGAACCAAUGUACCGUCCAUAUUGUGCGCGGGAGCCGGGUUAUGUAU
Molecule: long non-coding RNA, 806 nt
Organism: Hyla sarda
Lineage: Eukaryota; Metazoa; Chordata; Amphibia; Anura; Hylidae
Exons: 3
Source: RefSeq, a predicted model, not a curated record